RNAcentral lists this small nuclear RNA (142 nucleotides) under Mesocricetus auratus (golden hamster). RNAcentral's name for it is "U1 spliceosomal RNA (ENSMAUG00000007820.1)". The record is from RNAcentral. Lineage: Eukaryota; Metazoa; Chordata; Mammalia; Rodentia; Cricetidae.
GUACUUACCUGGCAAGGGAUGUUCUGUGAUCACAAAAAUGGUUUUCUAGGGUCCAUCAUAUUCUGCCUAUGCCAGCCCCUGUGAUUUCUCAGAAUACAAGAAGUUUGAUACAUAAUUUGUAGUAGUUUAGCAUUGCAUUGAC